AGUGAACGCUGGCGGUAGGCCUAACACAUGCAAGUCGAACGGCAGCACAGUAAGAGCUUGCUCUUACGGGUGGCGAGUGGCGGACGGGUGAGGAAUACAUCGGAAUCUACUUUUUCGUGGGGGAUAACGUAGGGAAACUUACGCUAAUGCCGCAUACGACCUACGGGUGAAAGCAGGGGAUCUUCGGACCUUGCGCGAUUGAAUGAGCCGAUGUCGGAUUAGCUAGUUGGCGGGGUAAAGGCCCACCAAGGCGACGAUCCGUAGCUGGUCUGAGAGGAUGAUCAGCCACACUGGAACUGAGACACGGUCCAGACUCCUACGGGAGGCAGCAGUGGGGAAUAUUGGACAAAGGGCGCAAGCCUGAUCCAGCCAUACCGCGUGGGUGAAGAAGGCCUUCGGGUUGUAAAGCCCUUUUGUUGGGAAAGAAAAGCAGCAGGUUAAUACCCCGCUGUUCUGACGGUACCCAAAGAAUAAGCACCGGCUAACUUCGUG
Molecule: ribosomal RNA, 492 nt
Filed under: uncultured bacterium
Lineage: Bacteria
Description: partial 16S ribosomal RNA
Rfam family: Bacterial small subunit ribosomal RNA
Source: RNAcentral